Molecule: long non-coding RNA, 263 nt
Filed under: Setaria viridis
Lineage: Eukaryota; Viridiplantae; Streptophyta; Magnoliopsida; Poales; Poaceae
Description: long non-coding RNA (SVIR_LNC000860)
Source: RNAcentral
GUUCCGCUUCGGCUCGUUCCUUUACGACCCUAAGACCUCGUCAGUAGGACCGGAGGUGAGCUGCCGACCCCUUCCAGCUCGCUCGACCCUGUCCGACUCGCCCGAGUGCUGUCUGCCUCGCCCGAGGGCUCGGUUGUGUCUUUUUCUUUUAACCGAGGGUAUCUGUGUAAAAUUCUGAGAACUUCUCUAUUUUAAAUAUGAGGAUCCCGGUGCAGUUAUUCCUUAAUUCUAAGGGUUAGAUCGUAUGUUUUCCCCGAUCCGAC